UACGGGGGGGGCAAGCGUUGUUCGGAAUUACUGGGCGUAAAGGGCGUGCAGGCGGUUUGUUAAGUGCAGGGUGAAAGCUCCCGGCUCAACUGGGAGAGGUCCUUGCAUACUGGCAAACUCGAGGGAGGCAGAGGAAAGUGGAAUUCCCGGUGUAGUGGUGAUAUGCGUAGAUAUCAGGAGGAACACCGGUGGCGAAGGCGGGACUCUGGGCCGAUACUGACGCUGAGGAGCGAAAGCGUGGGGAGCAAACAGG
Molecule: ribosomal RNA, 253 nt
Filed under: uncultured bacterium
Lineage: Bacteria
Description: partial 16S ribosomal RNA
Rfam family: Bacterial small subunit ribosomal RNA
Source: RNAcentral